Molecule: unclassified non-coding RNA, 249 nt
Filed under: plant metagenome
Description: partial contains small subunit ribosomal RNA, internal transcribed spacer 1, and 5.8S ribosomal RNA
Rfam family: 5.8S ribosomal RNA (bases 201-249)
Source: RNAcentral
UCUCCGUAGGUGAACCUGCGGAGGGAUCAUUACAGAGUUCAUGCCCUACCGGGUAGAUCUCCCACCCUAUGUUAUUAUUACUUUGUUGCUUUGGCGGGCCGUUAGGCUCCGGCCCGACUACCGGCCCCGGCUGGUAAGCGCCCGCCAGAGGACCCAAAACCCUGAAUAUUAGUGUCGUCUGAGUACUAUAUAAUAGUUAAAACUUUCAACAACGGAUCCCUUGGUUCUGACAUCGAUGAAGAACGCAGC